This 55-nucleotide ribosomal RNA is filed under the name Pyropia tenuipedalis. RNAcentral describes it as "Porphyra tenuipedalis partial small subunit ribosomal RNA". The record is from RNAcentral. Lineage: Eukaryota; Rhodophyta; Bangiophyceae; Bangiales; Bangiaceae.
AAAUAAAAGAGUUUGAUCCUGGCUCCGAAUGAAUGCUAGUGGCGGCCUAACACAU